GCGCCUAUAGCUCAGCAGGAUAGAGCGUCCGCCUCCUAAGCGGAAGGCCGGUGGUUCGAAUCCACUUAGGCGCGCCA
Molecule: transfer RNA, 77 nt
Filed under: Bacillota bacterium
Lineage: Bacteria; Bacillati; Bacillota
Description: Firmicutes bacterium (gut metagenome) tRNA-Arg
Rfam family: tRNA
About the family: Transfer RNA (tRNA) molecules are approximately 80 nucleotides in length. Their secondary structure includes four short double-helical elements and three loops (D, anti-codon, and T loops).
Source: RNAcentral